RNAcentral lists this ribosomal RNA (510 nucleotides) under uncultured bacterium. RNAcentral's name for it is "partial 16S ribosomal RNA". It matches the Rfam family "Bacterial small subunit ribosomal RNA", at positions 28 to 507 of the family's 1533-position model. The record is from RNAcentral.
GACGAACGCUGGCGGCGUGCUUAACACAUGCAAGUCGAACGAAGAGCGACGGAAGCUUGCUUCUCUCAAUCUUAGUGGCGCACGGGUGAGUAACGCGUAAUCAACCUGCCCUUCAGAGGGGGACAACAGUUGGAAACGACUGCUAAUACCGCAUACGAUCUAAUCUCGGCAUCGAGGAUGGAUGAAAGGUGGCCUCUACAUGUAAGCUAUCACUGAAGGAGGGGAUUGCGUCUGAUUAGCUAGUUGGAGGGGUAACGGCCCACCAAGGCGAUGAUCAGUAGCCGGUCUGAGAGGAUGAACGGCCACAUUGGGACUGAGACACGGCCCAGACUCCUACGGGAGGCAGCAGUGGGGAAUCUUCCGCAAUGGACGAAAGUCUGACGGAGCAACGCCGCGUGAGUGAUGACGGCCUUCGGGUUGUAAAGCUCUGUUAAUCGGGACGAAAGGCCUUCUUGCGAAUAGUGAGAAGGAUUGACGGUACCGGAAUAGAAAGCCACGGCUAACUACGUG